AGUGAACGCUGGCGGUAGGCCUAACACAUGCAAGUCGAACGGCAGCACAGUAAGAGCUUGCUCUUACGGGUGGCGAGUGGCGGACGGGUGAGGAAUACAUCGGAAUCUACUUUUUCGUGGGGGAUAACGUAGGGAAACUUACGCUAAUACCGCAUACGACCUACGGGUGAAAGCAGGGGAUCUUCGGACCUCGCGCGAUUGAAUGAGCCGAUGUCGGAUUAGCUAGUUGGCGGGGUAAAGGCCCACCAAGGCGACGAUCCGUAGCUGGUCUGAGAGGAUGAUCAGCCACACUGGAACUGGGACACGGUCCAGACUCCUACGGGAGGCAGCAGUGGGGAAUAUUGGACAGAGGGCGCAAGCCUGAUCCAGCCAUACCGCGUGUGUGAAGAAGGCCUUCGGGUUGUAAAGCCCUUUUGUUGGGAAAGAAAAGCAGCAGGUUAAUACGACGCUGUUCUGACGGUACCCAAUGAAUAAGCACCGGCUAACUUCGUG
Molecule: ribosomal RNA, 492 nt
Filed under: uncultured bacterium
Lineage: Bacteria
Description: partial 16S ribosomal RNA
Rfam family: Bacterial small subunit ribosomal RNA
Source: RNAcentral